CAAAGCUCACUCUCGUAAUGAACAUUACAAACUUCGGAAAUAUUUUCUUAUUUUAUUUAAUAUCUGCUACCUUAUAGUGCUUGUGACGAGUGAAGAAUUCGUUUCAUAGCGAUGCACCGGGGAAAUUAUUUACAACAUUAACUUAUUGCUGAUAUGUAACCCCAAUCGACAUUCCGUAAACCCUGACACUGAGGCCCGAUACAGGUAACCGCCAAGUUGGGGGUUAGGGUGCGUACACCCCCUUAGCACUCGCCCUCCCUCGUACCGCGUUAUCAGAGUAAUGU
Bombus terrestris (buff-tailed bumblebee) is the source of this 284-nucleotide long non-coding RNA. RefSeq lists it as uncharacterized. Lineage: Eukaryota; Metazoa; Arthropoda; Insecta; Hymenoptera; Apidae. The record is from RefSeq and is a predicted model, not a curated record. The transcript is spliced from 2 exons.